RNAcentral lists this ribosomal RNA (373 nucleotides) under uncultured eukaryote. Its description in RNAcentral is "partial 18S ribosomal RNA". It matches the Rfam family "Eukaryotic small subunit ribosomal RNA", at positions 592 to 976 of the family's 1831-position model. The record is from RNAcentral.
CAAUAGCGUAUAUUAAAGUUGUUGCAGUUAAAAAGCUCGUAGUUGAAUUUUUGCUUGCCGCCGAUGUCGGAACUUCCGUACGUUCGGCGGCGUGCAUCCUUGGGUGGAACCUGUGUGGCAUUAGGUUGUCGUGCAGGGGAUGCUCAUCGUUUACUGUGAAAAAAUUAGAGUGUUCAAAGCAGGCUUACGCCGUUGAAUAUAUUAGCAUGGAAUAAUAAGAUAGGACCUUGGUACUAUUUUGUUGGUUUGCGCACCGAGGUAAUGAUUAACAGGGACAGUUGGGGGUAUUCGUACUCCAUUGUCAGAGGUGAAAUUCUUGGAUUUCUGGAAGACGAACUACUGCGAAAGCAUUUACCAAGGAUGUUUUCAUUAA